Molecule: non-coding RNA, 72 nt
Organism: Metarhizium acridum CQMa 102
Lineage: Eukaryota; Fungi; Ascomycota; Sordariomycetes; Hypocreales; Clavicipitaceae
Source: the annotation of a RefSeq genome assembly
GGGUACUUCGUCAAGUGGUAUGAUGCCUGAUCCGCAUUCAGGAGGUCCGGGGUUCGAUUCCCUGAGUAUCCA